GCACGCAAAGCUGAUGCCCCUUUCUUGAAUACCCCAAUUGAACACUAUCAUGCUAUGGCGACCAUCUUUGGGACAACCGCGGCUUCAGGGAUGAAUGCUAGGUCUGGGAAUGAUCUACUCUCUAUUGAUGUGGAAGAUGAGGAGAAUGGUGAGGUGAACACAUCACCAAAUGUUGCUGAAUCCUCUCACCCCAAAGGACCACCAAAAAAGAAGGCCAAGGUAGUGAAAGUUCUUCAAGAUCCACUAGUUACCACUCUCAAUUAUGGGUUCAAACUUGUGGCUGAUUCUCUUGUGAAGUAUGGGGAUGAUGAUGAUGAAGGAAAUAUGCCCUAG
RNAcentral lists this ribosomal RNA (333 nucleotides) under Triticum aestivum (bread wheat). RNAcentral's name for it is "partial small subunit ribosomal RNA". Lineage: Eukaryota; Viridiplantae; Streptophyta; Magnoliopsida; Poales; Poaceae. The record is from RNAcentral.